Trachymyrmex septentrionalis is the source of this 553-nucleotide long non-coding RNA. RefSeq lists it as uncharacterized. Lineage: Eukaryota; Metazoa; Arthropoda; Insecta; Hymenoptera; Formicidae. The transcript is spliced from 3 exons. The record is from RefSeq and is a predicted model, not a curated record.
GCAGUAUAACCAGUAGGGACACUCAGCGAAAAAAUGCGUGUUCGCGCAGGUAUGGCUGCGCAGCUUUUGUUUUGGGCCGGAUCCAAUGAAAUGCAAGAUGAUAAGAACGUACAUAUUACACAGAUCCCGUGUGAGCAGAUAUCCGUGGCAAAAGAAGACAAUUUAAGAGCUGCGCCUUAAAUAUUUCUAAAAAAAAUGGAUAAAAAAAGAAAAGUUAUGUUAUGUGCAGUAUUAAACAAUGCAGUAAUAAUAAUAAAAAUUCACAAUGCACUUUUUUUCGUUAUCCCAAAGAUAUCGAAAGAGCAAAACAAUGGACUAUCGCAUGUCUUCGAGAAGAUCUUACAUCUGAACCGCACUUAUUGGAUAACAAGUGUUAUAGAGUUUGUAGCAAUCAUUUUGAAAAUAUCAUGUUUACAAACUAUUUAAGAAAUAGGUUGUGUCAUAACGAUUCCAACUUUAAAAAUAACAAAUAUUGGAAAUGAUGAGAACACUUAGAAUAAUGCAGGUUUAUCAGUAUCUUCACAAUCAUGUAAUAGAAUUUUGAAAACACACA